CCCUUCCUGUGGACGCUAAUAGGGAAGAGUCACAACCAGCGUGACUGAGACCACGGCAGCCGCAUGCUGGGCAUCGUCCUAAGCCCUGUACGCGACUAUCUCGGUCAAACCCCCACACGACACCUCCGCAUCCUCGGCCCCGUGGUGCCAGGCGCUGGCGUUCGCAUAGAUUCGUGAAGUGUUCCCGAAAACCCCAUGACGUGCCUUCUACUGUUAUCCUAGCUUCAAACAGAGAGGGGACCGCUUGCCCCCGGUCAGCGUGGAGCCGGCCAUCUUUCAAUAAUGCAACCUGCUUCUGCUAGCUGGGUAUACAGGAGAAAACCCAAAGGAACUGAGAAUAUUGAAAUGGUUCUACCAUUUCCAUCUUGGAGACAAAUGUGCCUCUCAGAGGAGAGCCGGAUGCAAGCAUGUGACUCUGCCUAACGACCGUCUACACAUAAGAGACGACACACACACUCCAGUGAUGUCUUACGCAAACAGGGAAAACACUGACCGGCGGGUCUGACCCCAGACUCCUUCCCUCCUCUCGGCUCUCGUUCCUCAGAGUUGUCACGUGGGCUGGAGUCUUGGAUUUCUUUCUUUUUUAUUAGGGAAACAUCCAAACCAUGUGGAACCAGGCGGCCGAAUGGGGCCUCGCUUAUCAGGCACAACGGAAUGUAUCCUGAUCCUUGCUCUAAACCUGGAAGAGGCUCCUUGGAUGUUUCCCCAAACCCCUCCUCAUGACAAAUAAGCAGGAGGAGGAGAGGGAAAGGAGACUCCGGGCCUAUCCCCCAACCUCCACCUUUUAAAAACGGAAGCAUUUUAAAACAUUGAGGCCCGAACUGUUUCAUCCGUCACUUAAAACCUUCCGGCUUAGAGAACACAAGGAGGUGUUGGUCAUAUGUGAUUUGAAGCAAAAAACACGUUAAAAGUGAGUUUCUUUUUCUAAGGAAUAAAUCUGAGUGACACGGAAGUGUUUUCCU
Herpailurus yagouaroundi (jaguarundi) is the source of this 962-nucleotide long non-coding RNA. RefSeq lists it as uncharacterized. The transcript has 3 exons. NCBI's taxonomy places the organism in Eukaryota, Metazoa, Chordata, Mammalia, Carnivora, Felidae. The record is from RefSeq and is a predicted model, not a curated record.